Long non-coding RNA from Canis lupus familiaris (dog), 1687 nucleotides. RefSeq lists it as uncharacterized. The record is from RefSeq and is a predicted model, not a curated record. The transcript is spliced from 5 exons. NCBI's taxonomy places the organism in Eukaryota, Metazoa, Chordata, Mammalia, Carnivora, Canidae.
AUGAAAACCUACCAUUUGCUUCAACAUGGAUGGAACUGGAUGGUAUUAUGCUGAAUGAAAUGAGGAACUUGAGCCUCUGAGAAGUGAAGCAGUUUGGAGAAGGUCACCAAUAUUAAGUGAUAAAGGUGGGAUUUAAGCCUGCCUUUGUCAAACUCCUGAACCUAGAUACUUCAGCCAUCCACAGCCAACCAACUGGAGAGGAAAUGUAUCACAGUCUUCAACAUUCCCCAGCUGGACGUAAGCCCCACGAACCAGAGACCAUCUUCCGUUUAUCUGCUGUGCCCAACAUAUAACCGGCUCCCAGCUCUGAAAAUUCAGAUUGUGGACCUGUGAUGCCUAUUUCAGAUGAUUUGGAGGACUCUACAAGAUGGCCCACAGCAAGUGGCUGGCAUAGUUUCAGGUAGUCACAUGCUACAAACUUAUUCAAGGAUCUCAGGGAAACACUAUUUGAGUUCCUUAGUCUCUGAAAUCUGAAACAUAGACAAUUUUGCCAAGGAAGCUCAAGAGCAGAGCCAUGGAUAGAAUCCCCCAGAUGCCUGAGGAUGUCAUUUCCUAAUGGCACUGGUGCCAAAUGCCUCCGGUACUGAAUUAAGUCAGGAUCAUCAAUACAUGAGAAAUGGAUCUCCAAGAGUAUUUCUUUCCUAAAAAAAAAAGGACUGUUUUCCUGGGCAGUCCACUCCACUGGAAUUCUUUCUGCUUCACUGAAGGGCUCAUCGGCAACUACUCUUUCCUUGGAUUUCAAAAAAAUUGACUUUUUAAAGAUGAAGUACAGAAGAAUGAUAUUCCCUUCGAUAAUGGAUUGUUUUUCUUGCUUCAUUCCUCCAGCUCUACUACUUCGGAUGACAAGAGAAGACCAACCACAUCCAUUUAGUUCCACAGAUGGACAAAAACCUCAGAGGACUGGCUCUCCUCUAUAAGCAAGGAACAAACAUGCAGGAAUAUUGUAAAGACAGACGUCAAGACUUGGCCAUUGCUUCCAAUUAAGAAGCUAUUUCCAAACUCACCAACCAAACUCUUACGUGGUGGGAAUUCAGCAAAUGGAUGGAAAGAUGGGUGAUUAAUUGAGCUAAUGCUUAUAGUGGCUCUUGACUCAGUUUUUCUUUGCUUACAGGGGAAAAAGUGGAAAGAGUUUCUGGUCCGGCCAGGCAUAAUUUGGGCAGUUUUGUAAAUUUGGGGUCAGUACUAAGGAAGAAUCUCGGCACUUGCUCUCUGGACCUCCAAAGACAGAAAGAAAUUGAACUCUUUGGAGCUGAUCAUAUCACUGUGCUGAAAACACAUGAAUGUGCCCUGACUCAUACCCAUGAGUUCAGUGUCCUCUGAGUUAUUUUAAUUCUUUAUUUUGUAUCCAUAGCAUUAUUUCUCCAACCCUGAAUAACUGGGCUUUCUUGAUUACAUUCAGCGUAUGUCUUCUCCGGAGGUUUUAUUGCCAUAUUAUUGUUCUCACUGGCCUGUUUAUGCCAGAGAAUGAAAACACUUCAUUCUGAAAAGGACGGUGUGUUUUUUUGCGUGAGGGAAAGAAAGAGUCAUAAUUGGUUCUGAUUGUUAAACAUGAAGAAUAGGCCCUGUCAUUUCUAUUUAAACUCAGUGAAAUGAGAAAACGAAGUUCCAGCUCUGAAUGAAUAAUCCAUAUUGCCUAAGUAGAGUAAUUAUAAAGGGAUAAGUGGAGAGCAAUGGAAGUGAAGCUAGA